GUACUAUGCUGAAUAGGCGAAGCCAGAGGAAACUCUGGUGGAGGCUCGUAGCGGUGCUGACGUGCAAAUCGCUCGUCAAAUUUGAGUAUAGGGGCGAAAGACUAAUCGAACCAUCUAGUAGCUGGUUUCCUCCGAAGUUUCUCUCAGGAUAGCAGGCCCAAACUUUAUGAUUGUUGUGUGUGGUAAAGCGAAUGAUUAGCAUACUCGGGGGCGUAACGCCUUCGGAUGAUUCUCAAACUUUAAAUGCGCACGGAUGUUGCCGCUUGGGUGGGCGGCAUCUCUAAAAACUUGGGCUUUGUGGGCCAUUUUUGGUAAGCAGAACUGGCGAUACGGGAUGAACCGUAAGUGUGGUUAAGGCGUCAAAUUGUCCGCUUAUAGAUUCCAAAAAAGGUGUUGAUUCAUCGAGACAGCAGGACGGUGGCCAUGGAAGUCGGAAUCCGCUAAGGAGUGUGUAACAACUCACCUGCCGAAUGAAUUAGCCCUGAAAAUGGAUGACGCUAAAGCGGGCAGCCGACACCACACCGUUUGGGCAAAAAUAAAUACGCUUAAAUGAGUAGGAGGAACGUGGUGGUUGUGUUGAAGCGUGCGUGCAAACGUGCGUGGAACGGCCACUAGUGCAGAUCUUGGUGUUAGUAGCAAAUAUUCAAACGAGAACCUUGAAGGGCGAAGCGGGGAAGGGUUCCACGCGAACAUUGAUUGAGCGUGGGUUAGUCGUUCCUAAGCCGCGUGGCAAUAGCUAAAAUAAACGGCGAAAGGGAAGCAGGUUGAUAUUCCUGCACACGGAUGUGGAUGCGGUGACGCAUUUUCUUGGGGCGGUGAAGCUGGCGGUGGCACUGGACAGAGUUGUCUUUUCUGUUUAACUGACUUUGACUCGUCGUGUGGAAUCCGCUUGUCGGGAGAAACACACGGGUUUGGGAAUAGCGCCGGGUUUUUCUCCGGCGUCCAGUACGCCAUCGUCGGACCUUGAAAAACUGCCUGCAGGCGCAAGCCUAAUUGAAUAAAUGAAAAACCACGCCGUGACGUACCGAUAACCGCAUCAGGUCCCCAAGGUGAACAGCCUCUGCUCGAUAUGAACAAUGCAGGUAAGGGAAGUCGGCAAAUUGGACCCGUAACUUUGGGAAAAGGGUUGGCUCUAGUGCUGCGUGGGAUACGCUGGUCUUGUGCGACCGCUGGUGUGACGCUCGUGUAUCUACUGGAAAAGCAGAUUUGCUCUUCGGAGUGGAGAUGUGGAACCGGCGGGGACUAGGCGGAUCUGCUGGUGGUUGCCUUUUCCUGCUGC
This 1279-nucleotide ribosomal RNA is filed under the name Bartoniella crenata. RNAcentral describes it as "LSU rRNA". It matches the Rfam family "Eukaryotic large subunit ribosomal RNA", at positions 828 to 2099 of the family's 3401-position model. Lineage: Eukaryota; Rhodophyta; Florideophyceae; Ceramiales; Delesseriaceae. The record is from RNAcentral.